RNAcentral lists this ribosomal RNA (505 nucleotides) under uncultured bacterium. RNAcentral's name for it is "partial 16S ribosomal RNA". It matches the Rfam family "Bacterial small subunit ribosomal RNA", at positions 28 to 507 of the family's 1533-position model. The record is from RNAcentral.
GACGAACGCUGGCGGCGUGCCUAAUACAUGCGAGUAGAACGCACAGUUUAUACCGUAGCUUGCUACACCAUAGACUGUGAGUUGCGAACGGGUGAGUAACGCGUAGGUAACCUGCCUGGUAGCGGGGGAUAACUAUUGGAAACGAUAGCUAAUACCGCAUAAUAUUAAUUAUUGCAUGAUAAUUAAUUGAAAGGUGCAAUUGCACCACUACCAGAUGGACCUGCGUUGUAUUAGCUAGUAGGUGAGGUAACGGCUCACCUAGGCGACGAUACAUAGCCGACCUGAGAGGGUGAUCGGCCACACUGGGACUGAGACACGGCCCAGACUCCUACGGGAGGCAGCAGGAGGGAAUCUUCGGCAAUGGACGAAAGUCUGACCGAGCAACGCCGCGUGAGUGAAGAAGGGUUUCGGAUCGUAAAGCUCUGUUGUAAGAGAAGAACGGGUGUGAGAGUGGAAAGUUCACACUGUGACGGUAUCUUACCAGAAAGGGACGGCUAACUACGUG